CUGCGUUGAGACAAUGACUUAUCAAUGACCCAAGCCCUGCUCAGAUAAUCCCUACCAUUGUGUCGCUGAGUUGUCGUAGAGCUGCAGCAAAUGUACAUUGGAAGCAUUGGAAGUCAUAAUGAGAGCUGAUUGGUGUGGACUAACUGCUCAGGCAGACUGGGAAGGCCAUGCAGAACAUGAACCCUGACUCAGAGGAGACUGAUUUUGAGGACUAUGCAAUGGACCCCCCACAGAUUGUAUGCUUCUGGAUGACUUCAUCACCACCACCACCACUGUUGACUUCACUGCUGACAUUCCCACCCGGGCUGCUCCCUCUACAGUCCAACCUGCUUCCUUCAGUGCCAAGUCCGCUGCCACAAGUAUCUGACCUGCUUCACCCACAGCUCAGUCUGCUGCCAGCCAACUCCACCCAUGCAAAAAACUUGAUUGGUUUGAUAAGUAGCAACUCAUCACUAGUUUCCAUAUAGACUGUGCUGUACUCCAGCCCUUUUGAUCUUCUUUCUAAAAUGUAAGGUCUCUAUUCAAUCAGAUACAGAGUUAACCCGCGGUUGCUCUUGUGUGUCACAAUCCACUCCCUUCCUACCCCGUUAGAAGUUCAAAUCAGUGAUAGAAAGUGUAGGCUAUUUGGAUGGGGGGGAUUUAAAGCCUAUCAGUCGAAUCAAGAGUAGGGUCUAUAGCCUACAAUAGAACAUCACACAGUGUUUGAAUGUGUAACACGGCUGCAGGAACUUCUAACAUGGCUGCAUGGGUUUUGUCGAAUAGAAAGUUUGGUCGUUUUGUGACAUCCAAUGGCAGCGUAGGCGAAUAAGGUAACACAAGGAGCUGCUUGUGGAUUUGACAGCUCGAACACAGUUCCACCUCCGAUACCGCCAAAGCAAUCACUACGUGUGUGUCGACCAACAUUAAUCUGAUUGAAUCGAGCCCUAGAACUUUCAGGUGGAGAUUUUCCUCUGUUUGCAUGGAUGUUGUCAUAUGUUUGGAUUCUGCUGUGUUAUUCACUCAGAAUCAGUCAGUUGCCAUACCCACUCAUUAGCUUGUGUGUGUAACGUUUUACAUUUGUCAUUAAUAAACAUGUGUCUAUAUUUCGA
This is a long non-coding RNA of Salvelinus namaycush (lake trout), 1088 nucleotides long. RefSeq lists it as uncharacterized. The transcript is spliced from 2 exons. The record is from RefSeq and is a predicted model, not a curated record. NCBI's taxonomy places the organism in Eukaryota, Metazoa, Chordata, Actinopteri, Salmoniformes, Salmonidae.